This 437-nucleotide ribosomal RNA is filed under the name uncultured Oscillospiraceae bacterium. Its description in RNAcentral is "partial 16S ribosomal RNA". It matches the Rfam family "Bacterial small subunit ribosomal RNA", at positions 341 to 792 of the family's 1533-position model. Lineage: Bacteria; Bacillati; Bacillota; Clostridia; Eubacteriales; Oscillospiraceae. The record is from RNAcentral.
ACGGAAGGCAGCAGUGGGGAAUAUUGGGCAAUGGGCGCAAGCCUGACCCAGCAACGCCGCGUGAAGGAAGAAGGUCUUCGGAUUGUAAACUUCUUUUAUGAGGGACGAAGGACGUGAAGGUACCUCAUGAAUAAGCCACGGCUAACUACGUGCCAGCAGCCGCGGUAAUACGUAGGUGGCAAGCGUUAUCCGGAUUUACUGGGUGUAAAGGGCGCGUAGGCGGGGAUGCAAGUCAGAUGUGAAAUCUAUGGGCUCAACUCAUAAACUGCAUUUGAAACUGGAUCUCUUGAGUGCAGGAGAGGUAGAUGGAAUUCCUUGUGUAGCGGUGAAAUGCGUAGAUAUAAGGAAGAACACCUGUGGCGAAGGCGAUCUACUGGACAGUAACUGACGCUGAGGCGCGAGAGCGUGGGGAGCAAACAGGAUUAGAUACCCUGGUA